RNAcentral lists this long non-coding RNA (1182 nucleotides) under Marmota monax (woodchuck). Lineage: Eukaryota; Metazoa; Chordata; Mammalia; Rodentia; Sciuridae. The record is from RNAcentral.
CCUCUCUUGCUUUUUCCCUCUCAACUAAUCAUACACAAGUCUUCACAUUAUAUCCAUCCGUUAAAAAGUUACUCUUCUCCUUGACCUUCUCUUUUCAACCCUUUUCCUCCAAGGCCGAAUUCUAAAGAGAAGACCUCCCUCCACAUUGCACUUUCUCAGCUGCUAUCUAGUUCCCAGCCCCUCUACACUGGUAUCACUCUGCACAAAGUGCUCUCUUAAAGGUCAUCAUGACCUCAAAUUUGAUUAACUGCCAAAUCCAAAAGGCCUCUUCUUAGCCAUUCUCUUUCAUCUUGUCAUGAUUCACAUUAUUCUCAGCUUCUAUUGGAAUUUCUUUUCUCCCUACUCCUUCUAAUUUGGCUCACUGGCUUCUUUCUCCUCUGGUUCUUUAAAUAGUAUUUCUUCAAGAUUCCAUUGUGCUCUCCAAUUUUCCUCAACCCUAGUUGAUAUCCCCUAGCUGACCAGCUAUGAAAAGGGCUGCCAAAAUGCAGCUAAGCUCAGCCUGGACUUGUAGAGAAACAGGCCUCCUUUCUGAUCCCAUUAUCCUCCCAGCACAUAGGUACUGCAGGUGCCUGGAGCUCUACACGUUUUUUUUUUUUUUUUAGUUAUACAUAAUGAUGGGAUUUGAUGUUACAUAUUUAUGCGUGCACACAAUAUAACAGUAUCCUCAAACUCACAGUCCUCCUACUUCAGCCACUCUUGGGCAGCUGAGAUUACAGGCAUGUGCUCUCAGCUCCUCUCUGAGGUUUGAUAAACAGCCACUGAGCUCCUGCUCAUCUCCCUCCUGAUUUCCUGUCUCAACCAGGGGAUGGCUUCUUCCUACCUCCACAUGGUGGGCUCCAGCCAACUUCAGCUCUUGCAAUCCAUUCCCCAGUCCCCACAUCUGGUUACCUGAUGCCCACGGAGCCCCUCACUGAGGACCUUCUCUUCUUUCAACGCCUGCAGCUGUACUGAGCCCUGUCAUUUCUUUUCUUGGCAGAUGCAUCAGCAUUUUUCUUUUCUGCCCAUCAGAACUAGAGUCCAUGUGUGAAGAUCCAUAUGUGGGCUUCAGCUUCCCACCCCACCUUCUCUCCUAUUCUGGGUCCACCAUUUUACAGUUGCUGACCCACAGAGAAUGGUGGAGCAGCUUUGUUUUAGCCUACAAUUUUACUGUAGCAUCAUCUUAUAAGGGUUAGGAAGGUGAAU